Meriones unguiculatus (Mongolian gerbil) is the source of this 814-nucleotide long non-coding RNA. RefSeq lists it as uncharacterized. NCBI's taxonomy places the organism in Eukaryota, Metazoa, Chordata, Mammalia, Rodentia, Muridae. The record is from RefSeq and is a predicted model, not a curated record. The transcript is spliced from 3 exons.
GGGUUAACGUAUUGAUGCAGUGUGUGACUUUGAAGAGGCCACAGACCUGCUCCAGGUUUCUGCAACCGGCCUGUACGGUGAGAAUGCAGCCGCCUACAGCUUCCACACACAGUUUCUCAAGAACUGAGACCUGAAAAUAUGUUAAAAGACAAAGUUUUAAUGGGCAAAGGGUUUUUGAAGAACACCCAGAUGAACAGGCGAAAAGCUCCGAGUCUCUGCAGUUUCAGAGGUUUGAUGCAUCAUAAGCAUGGCAGAAAGGAUGGUGGCACACAGGCAGACAUGGUGCUGGAGAAGGAGCUCCGAGUUCUACAUCUGGAUCCACAAGAAUAGAGAGACGUUCGUGGCUUGAGCAUUUGCAACCUCAAAGCCCACCCCCAUUGACAGGCUUCCUCCACAUAUCCUAAACCCUAUCAAGUAGCACCACCCCAUAAUGAUCAUAUUCAAAUAUAUGAGCCUGUGGGGGGUCAUUUCUAUUCAAACUGCUGCACUCUUUACAGACAUUGAAAUCAAGCCCCUCUCCUUUUUCUGGACCAGCAGUGAACUUGUAAAGAACCCAUGCAAGGUGUGACCUUUAUCUUUCCUCCUUUGAAUGACUGGAAAAAUGAACUACUAGAGGGAGAGAAACUAAGAUAAUUACUAAGAAGAAAAGAAGUACCAGCAGGUUUGAAUGCUUCCUCUUAUCUCGUAUUCCAAUAACUAGAGAGAGAUUAGAGAAUUCACCAACCCAAGUUGCUUUCUCUUACGGGAAAUCACAAUGUUGCCUGUCUUUGAUGAGGCUCUAUCAAUGACAGCUGUUUCUAAACAGUCUUUGAUA